RNAcentral lists this long non-coding RNA (2753 nucleotides) under Homo sapiens (human). RNAcentral describes it as "HSALNT0245803". The record is from RNAcentral. Lineage: Eukaryota; Metazoa; Chordata; Mammalia; Primates; Hominidae.
UUCUGCCUAUUUUUAAAAAAAUAUUUUCAUGGUCCUGGUGCAGUGGCUUACGCCCAUAAUCCCAGCACUUUAGGAGGCCGAGGUGGGCAGAUCACCUGAGUCCAGGAGUUUGAGACCAGCCUAGCCAACAUGGCAAAACCCCGUAUCUACUAAAAAUACAAAAAUUAGCUGGGCGUGGUGGCAGAAGCCUGUAGUCCCAGCUACUCGGGGGGGCUGAAGCAAGAGAAUUGCUUAAACCCGAGAGGUGGAGGUUGCAGUGAGCUGAGAUCACACCACUGCACUUCAGCCAGCCUGGGCGACAGAACAAGACUCGGUCUCAAAAAAAAAUUUUUUUUUUCAUAAUAAAAACUAAAAACAAAUAAGGGGAGGAUGGAAUGAUCAGUCCUGCUUCUUCACUCCCUUGUAGUAGAAUUAUGCAUUCACAUCCUUGACUUGGGGCAUAGCUAUGGGACUUGCUUUGAUCAGUGGGAUGUCAGGGGAUAUGGAGUGAGUAGACUUGAACUGUGCUUGCACAAUGAACUUGCUCUCUUUCACUGCUGAAGUCACCCUGGAAGGAACACGCCUCAGGUAGCUUGCUGGGCCGAGGUUGAUAAGAAACAUGUGAAGCAAACCUGGACCCAACUCACAGCCCAGACGCCAGCCAGCUAAUCCAAGCCUGGAUCUGGUGAACCCCCACAGACCCACAGAGAUGUGAGCAAAACAAAUGCUUAUUGUAGAAUGCCACCAGGAUUGCGGGGCUGCUUGUUACACAGCCUGAUUAUGGCACUCACUAACUGAUAUAGGGAGUUUCUCAGGAAACCCAAGAGAAGCCACUAGUCAGUAUUGUGACUGACAGUGGCACUCUGGUUAACCUAUGCAGAAAAGGAAUUCAGUGGGGGUAACCGUUAGCAUAGAAUGGGCUGCAUAGGGUAUCGAGGCUGGAUACUCACUGCAUGCUGUGACACAGUGCUGUCUGGCUCUACCACAACCCUUGGGAACAAUCCUAAAUUACUCUUUUUUUAUUUUUUAUUUUUUUUUGAGACAGAGUCUUGCUGUGUCGCCCAGGCUGGAGUGCAGUGACCUGAUCUUGGCUCACUGCAACCUCCACCUCCCAGGUUCAAGCGAUUCUCCUGUCUCAGCCUCCCGAGUAGCUGGGAUUAUAGGUGUGCACCACCACACCUGACUAAUUUUUGCAUUUUUAGUAGACACAGGGUUUCACCAUAUUGGCCAGGCUUGUCUCAAACUCCUGGUCUCCAGUGAUCCACCUGCCUCGGCCUCCCAAAAUGCUGGGGUUACAGGCGCAAGCCACCACACCUGGCCCCUAAAUUACUCUUGAACUUGGCAUCUCAUCUUCACGAUUAAACAUUCAGGUGGAAGCAUUUAAUGUAAUCAUUUUGGUCACAUUCCCAGGAGUCAGUUUUCAGAGCCUGGGAAAGGGAGCAGGGACCCCCAGGACCCUACCUCCAACGUAGAAAGGGUAUUUGGACACCAGGCAACCAAAAGGGCAAAUGGCUACCACUGGCAGGAAUGCAGGAGGGGCUGAAGACAGGUGUGAGCUCUCGGCAGGAGUUGGGGGGCCUGAUCCUACCUCCUGCUGUUCCCCCAUGUCCCCUCUGUUUUGAACUCAGAGCUUCGGACAAGAGCCCCCUCCUGCUGUCUGAAGGGCACCAGUGUGGCUGCCCGCUGCUCCCAGGUUCCACGUGCCUAGCUUCAGCCACCUGGAGGGAGACUGAUUCCUCUUCCUCAUUCCAGUUCUCAUUUCUGGAGCCAAGUGAACGCCAUUCGGAGAAAUGUCCCUCGGCUUCCACUGUCUCCAGGCAAAGGGUAGGAAGGAGUGGUUCCCAGAGGCCGAGAUGAGGACUCAGAUGAAGCCACAGGUGUCUGCAGCUGUGUGGAGCUCUGGCAGAUGCAGGCGGAGACUUGCCUCUGACAUAGGGAGUUGUUGACGUCCCAGCUAAGUCAGCUCCGCUCACCAAGGGGUCCAGGAAGGCACCUGACUCUCAGGACCGCUGGCGUCUUGUAUGUGUCAAUCACCCAACAGACCAGGAAUGCAUGGCAGUACACACCGCCUCUGCUCCUGCCAGGGCCCUGGCAGGAGCGUGACAAAUAUUUGUUGUGGAAUUAGGUUCUUAAGCGAUGACGCUCUGCCCAGGGAUCCCAGGGCAGCUCGGCAAGUGGGCGUGCCUCAGCAGGUGCCAGUUGUCCUUCUGUUCCCAGGAAGGGGCUCUUGGGUUCCUAAUCAGACGGCACAUGGCCGGGAGCAGUGGCUCACGCCUGUAAUCCCAGCACUUUGGGAGGCCGAGGCGGGCGGAUCACCUGAGGUCAGGAGUUCGAGAGGAACCUGUCCAACAUAGAGAAACCCCAUCUCUACUGAAAAUACAAAAUUAGCCAGGCGUGGUGGUGUGUGGCUGUAAUUCCAGCUACUCGAGACGCUGAGGCAGGAGAAUCACUUCCACCCAGGAGGCAGAGGCUGCAGUGAGCCAACAUUGCGCUAUCGCACUCCAGCCUGGGCAACAAGAGCAAAACUCUGUCUCAGAAAACAAAACAAAACAAAACAAAACAGAAGACCCAGCCAGGGUCUUGUCUCUGCUUCCAGCGGGGGCAAGCGCUCACCACAGAGAGGCCUGAACCCCAUGCGUGCCUACAUCACCUCUCGGUCUCCAGGCCCGCCCAUGCUACUCAUUAAACUAGGCCUUUCUGUUGCAGCCUGUCCUGCAGGUCCCCAAAUGUGGGACCUUCCUUCAUCCUGCCAUCCUAGACCUUGGAAUCAGCAG